CCUCUUCAAGAGCAUGAGGUCAUCUCAUAUCUUCUUGCAGGUCUUGGUCCUGACUAUGAUCCUUUUGUCACCUCUAUUACAACCAGAGUUGAUUCGGUAUCCAUAGAUCGAUGAGAUUUAUGACCACCUCCUUAGUGAUGC
Molecule: small nucleolar RNA, 141 nt
Organism: Juglans regia (Persian walnut)
Lineage: Eukaryota; Viridiplantae; Streptophyta; Magnoliopsida; Fagales; Juglandaceae
Product: small nucleolar RNA Z247
Exons: 1
Source: RefSeq, a predicted model, not a curated record